RNAcentral lists this ribosomal RNA (496 nucleotides) under uncultured bacterium. RNAcentral describes it as "partial 16S ribosomal RNA". It matches the Rfam family "Bacterial small subunit ribosomal RNA", at positions 28 to 506 of the family's 1533-position model. The record is from RNAcentral.
GACGAACGCUGGCGGCGUGCCUAAUACAUGCAAGUUGAGCGAUGAAGAUUGGUGCUUGCACCAAUUUGAAGAGCAGCGAACGGGUGAGUAACGCGUGGGGAAUCUGCCUUUGAGCGGGGGACAACAUUUGGAAACGAAUGCUAAUACCGCAUAACAACCUUAAACAUAAGUUUUAAGUUUGAAAGAUGCAAUUGCAUCACUCAAAGAUGAUCCCGCGUUGUAUUAGCUAGUUGGUGGGGUAAAGGCUCACCAAGGCGAUGAUACAUAGCCGACCUGAGAGGGUGAUAGGCCACAUUGGAGCUGGGACACGGCCCAAACUCCUACGGGAGGCAGCAGUAGGGAAUCUUCGGCAGUGGACGAAAGUCUGACCGAGCAACGCCACGUGAGUGAAGAAGGUGUUCGGAUCGUAAAACUCUGUUGGUAGAGAAGAACGUCGGUGAGAGUGGAAAGCUCAUCAAGUAACGGUAACGACCCAGAAAGGGACGGCUAACUACGU